GGGACGAAAGCGUGGGGAGCAAACAGGAUUAGAUACCCUGGUAGUCCACGCCGUAAACGAUGAUCAUGAGUUGGUGGAAUAAUUUCACAAACGCAGCUAACGCGUUAAAUGAUCCGCCUGAGUAGUAUGCUCGCAAGAGUGAAACUUAAAGGAAUUGACGGGAACCCGCACAAGCGGUGGAGCAUGUGGUUUAAUUUGACUCUACGCGUAGAACCUUACCCACUCUUGACAUCUUCUGCAAAGCUAUAGAGAUAUAGUGGAGGUUAACAGAAUGACAGAUGGUGCAUGGUUGUCGUCAGCUCGUGUCGUGAGAUGUUAGGUUAAGUCCUGCAACGAGCGCAACCCUUUUCUUUAGUUACUAAUAUUAAGUUAAGGACUCUAGAGAUACUGCCUGGGUAACCAGGAGGAAGGUGGGGACGACGUCAAAUCAUCAUGCCUCUUACGAGUGGGGCAACACACGUGCUACAAUGGUCGGUACAAAGAGAAGCAAUAUGGUGACAUGGAGCAAAUCUCAAAAAACCGAUCUCAGUUCGGAUUGAAGUCUGCAACUCGACUUCAUGUAGUCGGAAUCGCUAGUAAUCGUAGAUCAGCUACGCUACGGUGAAUACGUUCUCGGGUUUUGUACACACCGCCCGUCACACCAUGGGAGUUGGUAAUGCCCAAAGUCGGUGAGUUAACUUCGGAGACCAUUGCCUAAGGC
This 700-nucleotide ribosomal RNA is filed under the name Klebsiella pneumoniae. RNAcentral describes it as "bacterial SSU rRNA". It matches the Rfam family "Bacterial small subunit ribosomal RNA", at positions 750 to 1463 of the family's 1533-position model. Lineage: Bacteria; Pseudomonadati; Pseudomonadota; Gammaproteobacteria; Enterobacterales; Enterobacteriaceae. The record is from RNAcentral.